AGCAGCCGCGGUAAUUCCAGCUCCAAUAGCGUAUAUUAAAGUUGUUGCAGUUAAAAAGCUCGUAGUUGAACUUCGGGAUUAAUUUAUUGGUCGUGCUAUUGUACGUACUGGUAUUAUUGAUUCCUACCUUCUGACGAACCAUGAUGUCAUUAAUUUGGUGUUAUGGGAAGUUAGGACUGUUACUUUGAAAAAAU
RNAcentral lists this ribosomal RNA (194 nucleotides) under uncultured Glomus. RNAcentral's name for it is "partial 18S ribosomal RNA". It matches the Rfam family "Eukaryotic small subunit ribosomal RNA", at positions 569 to 766 of the family's 1831-position model. Lineage: Eukaryota; Fungi; Glomeromycota; Glomeromycetes; Glomerales; Glomeraceae. The record is from RNAcentral.